AGCCGACCGGGUGAUCGCGGUGCGUUGCACUGAGGAAGGUCGGGGCUCCACAGAGCAGAAUGCUGGCUAACGGCCAGUCAAGGUGACUUGAAGGAAAGUGCCACAGAAAAUAGACCGCCGAUGAUUCGAUUUUCGAAAACAGGUAAGGGUGAAACGGUGCGGUAAGAGCGCACCAGCGAAUAGGGUGACCUAUUCGGCUUGGUAAACCCCAUUCGGAGCAAGGUCAAGCAGGGAGAGGAUUGCUCGUCCGAUGACACUCCCAGGUAGACCGCAUAGAUGGAUGAUCACCUAACCUAAUCCCAAGGAUUUGGUGGACAGAACCCCGCCUACAGGUCGGCUCAC
Molecule: RNase P RNA, 342 nt
Filed under: marine eukaryotic metagenome
Description: Bacterial RNase P class A
Rfam family: Bacterial RNase P class A
About the family: Ribonuclease P (RNase P) is a ubiquitous endoribonuclease, found in archaea, bacteria and eukarya as well as chloroplasts and mitochondria. Its best characterised activity is the generation of mature 5'-ends of tRNAs by cleaving the 5'-leader elements of precursor-tRNAs. Cellular RNase Ps are ribonucleoproteins.
Source: RNAcentral